ACACGUAGGAACCGAGCGUUGUCCGGAUUUACUGGGCGUAAAGGGCGAGUAGGCGGCUCGUUAAGUCUCAUGUGAAAUCUCCCGGCUUAACUGGGAGGGGUCAUGGGAUACUGGCAAGCUUGAGGGCAGUAGAGGAAAGUGGAAUUCCCGGAGUAGUGGUGGAAUGCGUAGAUACCGGGAGGAACACCAGUGGCGAAAGCGACUUUCUGGGCUGUACCUGACGCUGAGGCGCGAAAGCAUGGGGAGCAAACCGGAUUAGAAACCCGUGUAGUCC
Molecule: ribosomal RNA, 274 nt
Filed under: uncultured bacterium
Lineage: Bacteria
Description: partial 16S ribosomal RNA
Rfam family: Bacterial small subunit ribosomal RNA
Source: RNAcentral